AGUUUGAUCAUGGCUCAGGACGAACGCUGGCGGCGUGCCUAAUACAUGCAAGUCGAGCGGACAGAAGGGAGCUUGCUCCCGGAUGUUAGCGGCGGACGGGUGAGUAACACGUGGGUAACCUGCCUGUAAGACUGGGAUAACUCCGGGAAACCGGAGCUAAUACCGGAUAGUUCCUUGAACCGCAUGGUUCAAGGAUGAAAGACGGUUUCGGCUGUCACUUACAGAUGGACCCGCGGCGCAUUAGCUAGUUGGUGGGGUAAUGGCUCACCAAGGCGACGAUGCGUAGCCGACCUGAGAGGGUGAUCGGCCACACUGGGACUGAGACACGGCCCAGACUCCUACGGGAGGCAGCAGUAGGGAAUCUUCCGCAAUGGACGAAAGUCUGACGGAGCAACGCCGCGUGAGUGAUGAAGGUUUUCGGAUCGUAAAGCUCUGUUGUUAGGGAAGAACAAGUGCGAGAGUAACUGCUCGCACCUUGACGGUACCUAACCAGAAAGCCACGGCUAACUACGUGCCAGCAGCCGCGGUAAUACGUAGGUGGCAAGCGUUGUCCGGAAUUAUUGGGCGUAAAGGGCUCGCAGGCGGUUUCUUAAGUCUGAUGUGAAAGCCCCCGGCUCAACCGGGGAGGGUCAUUGGAAACUGGGAAACUUGAGUGCAGAAGAGGAGAGUGGAAUUCCACGUGUAGCGGUGAAAUGCGUAGAGAUGUGGAGGAACACCAGUGGCGAAGGCGACUCUCUGGUCUGUAACUGACGCUGAGGAGCGAAAGCGUGGGGAGCGAACAGGAUUAGAUACCCUGGUAGUCCACGCCGUAAACGAWGAAUGCUAAGUGUUAGGGGGUUUCCGCCCCUUAGUGCUGCAGCUAACGCAUUAAGCCACUCCGCCUGGGGAGUACGGUCGCAAGACUGAAACUCAAAGGAAUUGACGGGGGCCCGCACAAGCGGUGGAGCAUGUGGUUUAAUUCGAAGCAACGCGAAGAACCUUACCAGGUCUUGACAUCCUCUGACAACCCUAGAGAUAGGGCUUUCCCUUCGGGGACAGAGUGACAGGUGGUGCAUGGUUGUCGUCAGCUCGUGUCGUGAGAUGUUGGGUUAAGUCCCGCAACGAGCGCAACCCUUGAUCUUAGUUGCCAGCAUUCAGUUGGGCACUCUAAGGUGACUGCCGGUGACAAACCGGAGGAAGGUGGGGAUGACGUCAAAUCAUCAUGCCCCUUAUGACCUGGGCUACACACGUGCUACAAUGGACAGAACAAAGGGCUGCAAGACCGCAAGGUUUAGCCAAUCCCAUAAAUCUGUUCUCAGUUCGGAUCGCAGUCUGCAACUCGACUGCGUGAAGCUGGAAUCGCUAGUAAUCGCGGAUCANCAUGCCGCGGUGAAUAC
This 1376-nucleotide ribosomal RNA is filed under the name Bacillus sp. B-3-8. RNAcentral describes it as "bacterial SSU rRNA". It matches the Rfam family "Bacterial small subunit ribosomal RNA", at positions 10 to 1369 of the family's 1533-position model. The record is from RNAcentral. Lineage: Bacteria; Bacillati; Bacillota; Bacilli; Caryophanales; Bacillaceae.